AACGGGUUCAGAAACACAGACAUAUAUGUGAAAAGAUCAAAAUUAAUUGAUAUCCAUCAAGAAUCCAACCCAAACAGGAGGCUUAUUACAACAAGUCAAACAACGUAUUGGAAGGGAAGGGGGAAAAGAAUGUUUUAGAUCGUUUUCUUGCACCUCUCUUGGCCUACCUGUUGCUUAGCCGAAUUCUUGUACCUCUCUUCAUUUUCUUAAUGAAGCAGAUGGAGAGAGUCUCCUCCCUUUCUUAAAAAGUAAAUAACUCCAAUUGCUUUACUUAAGAAACAGCGACAACAUGAAAUCCCAGUCAAUGCUUGCACGAACAAACAGAAGAAGUAAGCUGCAAAGCACUCUGAUCUAGUCCUCAAACAAAGCACAAUCAAAAUUUCUUGAAAGAUAUCAACAAUCUGGAUCCAAUCAGAACAAACGUGGACCAAAAAAACACAGCAAUAGAAAAGUGGGCGAUUAUUAUUAUUUUUUUUUCAGUAAUCAACUCUGCUCCAUCUAAUUAAGAAGAAAUGACAAAAUAAAAACAACAUUUAUUUAACUCUAUCAAGAAUCUCAACCAAGAAAACAUAAAAAUGAACAGCAGUUAAUCUGCGAUGCAAACCCAUGAGCAAACUUUUGCGGUAAAGUGGAUGGAAAAGACAACUGACAGAGUAGGGAGAUAAGUACAGAACUGUUCCCAUCUUCCAUUGCCCGCAGGAACCCAACCACAACUGUAUGUCAAAAGAAAUGGGGGAUUGUGGGGAGGAUGAAAACCCUAGGAGUAGGUCUCUGAUGGCCUCAGUUGGUGCGGCAGAUCGAAAUGCGAAGAAGUGAGGCUGGAAAGAGACGACGAGAAGAUGGGAGAAGAUUGCUGGAGGAGCCAUACAAGUAGGGGAAGAGGGGGGAGAGGAAGAGGGGUGAAAGCCUCUGUUUUGGUCUUCCGACCGUUAUCCAUGUCC
RNAcentral lists this long non-coding RNA (941 nucleotides) under Elaeis guineensis (African oil palm). RNAcentral's name for it is "long non-coding RNA (EGUI_LNC006049)". Lineage: Eukaryota; Viridiplantae; Streptophyta; Magnoliopsida; Arecales; Arecaceae. The record is from RNAcentral.